RNAcentral lists this ribosomal RNA (253 nucleotides) under uncultured prokaryote. RNAcentral's name for it is "partial 16S ribosomal RNA". It matches the Rfam family "Bacterial small subunit ribosomal RNA", at positions 525 to 777 of the family's 1533-position model. The record is from RNAcentral.
ACGGAGGGUGCGAGCGUUGUCCGGAAUCACUGGGCGUAAAGGGCGCGUAGGCGGCUUCUCAAGCGUGUGGUGAAAGUCCGGGGCUCAACCCCGGAUCGGCCGUGCGGACUGGGGAGCUCGAGUUCUGUAGAGGCGGGUGGAAUUCCGGGUGUAGCGGUGGAAUGCGUAGAGAUCCGGAAGAACACCGGUGGCGAAGGCGGCCCGCUGGGCAGAGACUGACGCUGAGGCGCGACAGCGUGGGGAGCAAACAGGA